Molecule: long non-coding RNA, 3097 nt
Organism: Heterocephalus glaber (naked mole-rat)
Lineage: Eukaryota; Metazoa; Chordata; Mammalia; Rodentia; Bathyergidae
Source: RefSeq, a predicted model, not a curated record
CCCAGGCUGUGGGGUUCAGGGAGGGACCAGGCCCUUCAGAGGUGGGAUCUGAAUUCUGGCGGAUGACAGCUGCUCGGGGCAGUGGGCGUGGCAGUGGGCGUGGGGAUGGCAGGGUCAGGGUCGUGGGAGGCUGGGAAGGCAGCCAGGUUUCUGGUGGGCUGGUCCUGCAGAGGGACUCGUGUGGUCCAUCCUGAGCCUCCACCGGCCUCUGCAUAGGAGGAGUUUGGGAAAGAGGUCCUGGAGGGCCGGGGGAGGUUUGGGGGAUGGGAGGUUCUGGGCCUGUGUUGCUUGGUUUGGUCUUGGUCAAGGGAAAGUUCUGUUGCUUGUUCUUCCUUGUUCUCGCUUCUACCUCUCGUCAGCAGGAUUGAUGCCCGACCAUAAUGAUACAGAGGCUUUCUGUCCCCAGGCAGGAUUUGCUACUGCUGCUGCUGUUGCUGCUGCUGCUCCUUCUGAAGUUGCUGCUGCUGCUGCUGCUGCUGCAGGGACUUGAGGUAGGCAUGCUCCUGCUGCAGCUGCCUUUGGAGACGUUACUGCCGCUGCUCCUCUAGUUGCUUCCGCUUAUAUUCCUGCUCUUGCUCAACCUGCCGCUGCUCCUCCUGCCGCAGAGCCUGAAUGUCCUCUAGCCGCCACUGCUGCUCCUUUUCCUUCAGAUUCUGCUGCUUGCGCUCUCAACGCUGUUGCUCCUCAGCUCCUCGCCGCUCCUCCUCUCGCUCCUCUAUUCGACGCUGCCGCUGGUGCAACAGGUGUUUGAUGUGCACCUCAGGGUCUCGCUGUUGCUGCUGCUGCUGCUUUAAAGCCUCGGAGUUGUCCUUAUUCUCCUGCUGGAGCCGGAGGAAUUCCUGGCGUAGUGUGAACUCCCCAGGCACAUUCAUGAUGGAGCUUGGCUCUCCUUCUUCUCCAUGGCUGUCAUCUUCUUCUUCACUGCCGCUAUACUCAUAUUCUGUCUCCUCUUUCUUGCCCCGCUUCUUCCGGGACCGGUCAACGUGGUCCUUGAGCUGGAUGGGGACCUGCCGCUCUGUGGGCUGGUCUCAGAUGAAGGGAAGCUUCAGUAGCUGCUCGGUUGGCGGUCGGCUCAGGUCGAUCACUGAACCAGCACCACAGAACUCCAUCACCAGCCAGAGCUGGCCAUCAUUCCCAGGGGCGCUCUUCUUGAUGAAGGCCCCAUAGUAGGUGGCAAUGUUGUGGAGGGCCCCUGGCAUGUGGCUUGUUGAAGUGAAUGAGUUGAUGAGAUGCUAGUUCAUGAUUCUCCAUCCCCUAUUGUUGAAGUGUACAUGGCUGGGGCUGCAGCUAGAAGACCAAGAAUUCCAGUUAAGUGACAGCCAGUAUGCCUUAUUAUGUGAUAAUGGACUACUAUAACUGCUGGGAAAAUAAAGAAGCUUUGCUGCUGUUUGUGCCAAUGUCUGCCCCACAUGCCUUCUUUUCUUGGAGACUCACCUGAAAGAAACCCACUUCAGCCACUAGACCUCAACACUUGGUGUAGUUGGCAGAGUUGCUGAAUAUAUCCUGGAGGUGGACAUACUGACUGGUGCCUGGUUGAACACUAUGCAGGGAGAAUUCCAUUAUCCAAGGACAUCCUCACCAAGCACAGUGCAACCUUUCUCUUUUUGUAUUAUUACUCAGUUCUCAAAGAAUCAAGAUGCCUUCAGCUGAUGUAAUCUUGCCCUUGAGUAUCACGGCAUCACGGGACCAUUGAGGCCUCAGCUGUGACUGGAGAAUGAGUCAAGCCAAUGGCAUCAUCUCCUGGGCCCAUAUGUUUGCUCAUGUGCACCAGCACUCACACUAUUGGGUGUGCACAGAACUCCUGACACAGGGCCUUCUGUGAAUUGUGCCAGCAUCCCCGCUCAAUUGGACAGACUGGUGACAACAGAACUGAACUGGACCCACCUGGGAUCACCGAUGCCAGGCUGUCAAGGCAUUACUGAUCUGAAAGAGAACAACCACCCCACGAGGACCAGACCUAUGAUGUAUAAUGACUGGGGGAGGGUGAUGGGGAACCAAGUAAUGUUGUUAGAUGUUACCCGACUGUGUAUUGAAUAGGUCAAUGCAUCAGUGGGGAAUCGCACAGCAGGAUGGAUACCACUCAACUUGUGUAACAUGUUACAGGUGAAUGACACAAAUGCCUGGUGGGAUGGCCAUAAGCUCAUAGGUACAGUGCCCACUGAUUGGCCCAUUGUGGAUGCCUUAUGGGUUUAUGGCACUAUGGGUUGGCCAUACCUACCCGUGCACUAGAUGGGGUGCUGCACCUGGGAUUUUCCCUCUAUUAAGGGCAUUAUCAGGCCCACUCUGACAGACACACCCUACAAUUGGGAUGCUGUGUAUCACAGAUUGCACCAAGCUAAACAGAUGGCCUGGUGGUUCUGUCCUAUGGUAGUACUGGUACCAAGGGUAGGGAGUAUAAAUUUAGCCCUCUAAGUUGAAGCUCUGGCUCAACACAUGACACAAGCCUUGAAUAUCACGCACCAGUCUUUGAUGUUGCUCAUGGAUGAAGCGUCCCAUAUGAGAAAGGUGGUGUUACAGAACCAUAUGGCUCUCAACUUGCUGACUGCAGCAUAGGAAGGCACUUAUGUCCUCCUGCAUGUAGAACGAUGCAUUUUUAUUCUUGACCCUCUGAUACAAGUACAAGAGGCCUUUUGAGAAAUGGAUACAGAGGUAUCUGCCAUCCAAGCCUCACAACAAGAUCCCCUGACCCAAUGGUGGGAAUCCCUGGGAUCCACCUAGUGUUAGUAGCUCUCAGCAGCACUGCGAUAGCUGUGGGGUUGGUGGUUAUGUGUUAUUCCCUGUAUUGCUGUUGUGGACUCUGGGCAUAAGGGGCAGCCCUGUGUACUACUCCCAAGAAUCAGCAACCUCCUAAUGUGUGAGAGGAUGGAAUAUGGGAGCCAUUUCGAGAAAUGUCAGUCAAAGCCUGGGUGUCUGAGGAGUCCUGGAGGACAUAACCCCAUUGUUAAAACAGGUGCAGGGUAGGCUUACUUAUGUAGCCAUAAGUCAACCAUGCAUGUGCAGCAUGGCCUGCAAGGUCACACAGUUGUUUUUCAGUAUGCCUAAAUAUGUGAUAAUGGGCUACUAUAACUGCUGGGAAAAUAAAGAAGCUUUGCUGCUA